UCAGCUCCUUCGGUAGUCACUUCGUACAUAGUGAUUCAUGAUGCGAAAUCCUCUCUGUUGAAAUAACUGACGAGGCCUCUGUCUUCUGACUGGACCCUGACUUCCAUGCCCUUUCCACUCUCACUCCAGUACAUGCCCAAACCCCAAUCUUUGUUGCUCCAGGCAUUGCCUCUGUGGCGCUGUGUCCCCUCCUUUGAACUCUGAUCCUUCUGCUCAGGCCCUUUCUCCCAGUCUGAAGUAAGGAGUGAAAAAAUGUGAAUUGUUCUACUCAUCUGGAAAAGAGAACCCUGAGGCAGGAACAAGUCGUUAAUUGCAUGUGCGUUUGUCCACAGCUCACCAUGAGUCAGGCCCUGUGCUAGGUGCUGGGAUGAAGCAGUGACUGACACAGGCCUGGACCUGUCCUUGGGAAGAGUGCGUCUGUGACACAGAUACUGUGCCAUGUGGCAAAACUUGAAUGGAGACAUCAGCUCUUUGUGGGUCUCAAGUCUACUGGCUUUCAAUCAGCUCUUCUGCUUGACAGCUGCAGGUCUUGGGACUGCCCAGCCCCCAUAACCCUGUGAGUGCAUUCCUGAUAAUAACCCUCUUUCUCUUGUCCUCCCCCACCCCACAUCAUUGGUUCUGUUUCUCUGGAGAACCAUAAUACAUCAUUUACUAAUCAGGAAAUAGAUUCAGAGACAUUAAUAACUCAUCCAACCUCACAGUUAACUGUAGAGUUGGGCUUGAAAUUCCAAGGUCGAUUUUCUUAGC
RNAcentral lists this long non-coding RNA (747 nucleotides) under Homo sapiens (human). Its description in RNAcentral is "non-protein coding MINCR:14". The record is from RNAcentral. Lineage: Eukaryota; Metazoa; Chordata; Mammalia; Primates; Hominidae.